RNAcentral lists this ribosomal RNA (253 nucleotides) under uncultured bacterium. RNAcentral's name for it is "partial 16S ribosomal RNA". It matches the Rfam family "Bacterial small subunit ribosomal RNA", at positions 524 to 776 of the family's 1533-position model. The record is from RNAcentral.
UACGUAGGGGGCAAGCGUUGUCCGGAAUCAUUGGGCGUAAAGCGCGCGUAGGCGGCCCGGUAAGUCCGCUGUAAAAGUCCAGGGCUCAACCCUGGAAAGCCGGUGGAUACUGUCGGGCUAGAGUCCGGUAGGGGAGUGUGGAAUUCCCGGUGUAGCGGUGAAAUGCGCAGAUAUCAGGAGGAACACCGGUGGCGAAGGCGGGUCUCUGGGCAGUAACUGACGCUGAGGAGCGAAAGCGUGGGGAGCGAACAGG